This 763-nucleotide ribosomal RNA is filed under the name uncultured Streptococcus sp. Its description in RNAcentral is "bacterial SSU rRNA". It matches the Rfam family "Bacterial small subunit ribosomal RNA", at positions 28 to 776 of the family's 1533-position model. Lineage: Bacteria; Bacillati; Bacillota; Bacilli; Lactobacillales; Streptococcaceae. The record is from RNAcentral.
GACGAACGCUGGCGGCGUGCCUAAUACAUGCAAGUAGAACGCUGAAGGAGGAGCUUGCCUCUCUGGAUGAGUUGCGAACGGGUGAGUAACGCGUAGGUAACCUGCCUGGUAGCGGGGGAUAACUAUUGGAAACGAUAGCUAAUACCGCAUAAUAGUAGAUGUUGCAUGACAUUUGCUUAAAAGGUGCAAUUGCAUCACUACCAGAUGGACCUGCGUUGUAUUAGCUAGUUGGUGGGGUAACGGCUCACCAAGGCAACGAUACAUAGCCGACCUGAGAGGGUGAUCGGCCACACUGGGACUGAGACACGGCCCAGACUCCUACGGGAGGCAGCAGUAGGGAAUCUUCGGCAAUGGACGGAAGUCUGACCGAGCAACGCCGCGUGAGUGAAGAAGGUUUUCGGAUCGUAAAGCUCUGUUGUAAGAGAAGAACGAGUGUGAGAGUGGAAAGUUCACACUGUGACGGUAUCUUACCAGAAAGGGACGGCUAACUACGUGCCAGCAGCCGCGGUAAUACGUAGGUCCCGAGCGUUGUCCGGAUUUAUUGGGCGUAAAGCGAGCGCAGGCGGUUAGAUAAGUCUGAAGUUAAAGGCUGUGGCUUAACCAUAGUACGCUUUGGAAACUGUUUAACUUGAGUGCAGGAGGGGAGAGUGGAAUUCCAUGUGUAGCGGUGAAAUGCGUAGAUAUAUGGAGGAACACCGGUGGCGAAAGCGGCUCUCUGGCUUGUAACUGACGCUGAGGCUCGAAAGCGUGGGGAGCAAACAGG